Molecule: ribosomal RNA, 385 nt
Filed under: uncultured bacterium
Lineage: Bacteria
Description: bacterial SSU rRNA
Rfam family: Archaeal small subunit ribosomal RNA
Source: RNAcentral
GCGCGAAAACUUUCCAAUGCACGAAAGUGUGAGAAGGGGAUCCCAAGUGCUCAACUUUGUUGGGCUUUUGCCAAGUGUAAAUAGCUUGGCGAAUAAGGGGUGGGCAAGACUGGUGCCAGCCGCCGCGGUAACCCCAGCGCCCCAAGCGGGAAUCACGAUUAUUGGGUCUAAAGCGUUCGUAGCAGGUUCUGUAAAUCUUUUGUGAAAUCGGCAGGCUUAACUUGUCGGCGUGCAGGGGACACUGCAGAACUCGAGACCGGGAGAGGCUAGAAGUAUUCCUUGGGUACCGGUAAAAUGGGUUAAUCCAAGGAGGACUACCAAUGGCGAAGGCAUCUAGCCAGAACGGUUCUGACUGUGAGGAACGAAAGCUAGGGGAGCAAAACGG